GAAUGUUGGGAACCGAUCUGAUUCCAAGGAUUGAGAAGUUUUGCAGUGGUCAACUGGUAUAGACAUCCCAUUACCACUACUUCCUUCAUUGGACUGCAAGGUAUUUCUGUUUGGAAAAGUAAUGGAGUCCAGUCAACUUCAUUGAUCGCCAAGGACUGUCAAAAUUAUAAAACUUGCUGUGGAGCUCUGACAUGCCAGAAGCCGCUAGAAAAAGAAGUUUGACAUUCAGAAACUUAUCAAGAGGUUCUACUCUUUGGAUAGAGACCAAAAUCAUACUUUGAAAAAGCCUGACAGGUUUCUUCGGAAAAGUGGCCAUCCAUGGAAUGAAUGAAAUGUUCUCUUUCUAUUCCAGGGAUUGCAGUGGCAAAGCUAGGCUAGGUCUUGGAGGCUGGUGUAAGGCGAUGUGGGUGAAGGCAGGAGGCUGAUGGAAAGACUGGGGGGAAGAAAAGCCGAAAUGGAUUCACGGUGCCUUGGAUGAAGGACGAGAGGGGAACUGCAAGCUCCUUCAACUGGUUCUGUCCGGUGAGAAGUGAUCAAGCUUGGGCUGACAAGAGGCUCAGGGAGCCCUCACGUUCUUUCGCUUUUUUACCUGCCAAUCAAACUGCUACAAGACAACACCCUGAUCUGGCAUGGACAUCGCGGGUCCAAGCCUGUAGCCCCAAAUCGGAUAAUCUCUGCAGCUGAUAACAAGCAAAAGAGAAGCCAGGCAACAGCCAUAUUAAAGAAGAAAACAAUCAACUCUGAGAUCCAACUUAGAAAUAAUGUUUCAUUCAAGAUAAGGCUCGUGGCUUAGGAGAUUGUGACCUGGCUUGCAUCAUUCUAAGACUUCUAUCGUCUGUUUUCAAAACCCAAGGAGGACCUCCU
Long non-coding RNA from Homo sapiens (human), 864 nucleotides. Ensembl annotates it as SOX2 overlapping transcript. Its record names the gene SOX2-OT. The record is from Ensembl. Lineage: Eukaryota; Metazoa; Chordata; Mammalia; Primates; Hominidae.